RNAcentral lists this ribosomal RNA (251 nucleotides) under uncultured bacterium. RNAcentral describes it as "partial 16S ribosomal RNA". It matches the Rfam family "Bacterial small subunit ribosomal RNA", at positions 334 to 599 of the family's 1533-position model. The record is from RNAcentral.
UGUCCCUACGGGAGGCAGCAGUGGGGAAUAUUGCACAAUGGGGGAAACCCUGAUGCAGCAACGCCGCGUGAGUGAAGAAGGUUUUCGGAUUGUAAAGCUCUGUCAGCAGGGAAGAAAGAAAUGACGGUACCUGACCAAGAAGCCCCGGCUAACUACGUGCCAGCAGCCGCGGUAAUACGUAGGGGGCAAGCGUUAUCCGGAAUUACUGGGUGUAAAGGGAGCGUAGACGGUUAAGUAAGUCUGGAGUGAAA